This 362-nucleotide ribosomal RNA is filed under the name uncultured bacterium. Its description in RNAcentral is "bacterial SSU rRNA". It matches the Rfam family "Bacterial small subunit ribosomal RNA", at positions 28 to 393 of the family's 1533-position model. The record is from RNAcentral.
GAUGAACGCUAGCGGCAGGCUUAACACAUGCAAGUCGAGGGGUAGGUUACUUCGGUAACUGAGACCGGCGCACGGGUGCGUAACGCGUAUACAAUCUACCUUUACAGAGGGAUAGCCCAGAGAAAUUUGGAUUAAUACCUCAUAGUAUUUUCGGAUCGCAUGAUUUGAUUAUUAAAGUUCCAACGGUAAAAGAUGAGUAUGCGUCCCAUUAGCUAGAUGGUAAGGUAACGGCUUACCAUGGCAACGAUGGGUAGGGGUCCUGAGAGGGAGAUCCCCCACACUGGUACUGAGACACGGACCAGACUCCUACGGGAGGCAGCAGUGAGGAAUAUUGGACAAUGGGCGGCAAGCCUCGAUCCACG